This 242-nucleotide ribosomal RNA is filed under the name uncultured Actinomycetales bacterium. RNAcentral describes it as "partial 16S ribosomal RNA". It matches the Rfam family "Bacterial small subunit ribosomal RNA", at positions 89 to 334 of the family's 1533-position model. Lineage: Bacteria; Bacillati; Actinomycetota; Actinomycetes; Actinomycetales. The record is from RNAcentral.
ACCCGAGUGGCGAACGGGUGAGUAACACGUGGGUGAUCUGCCCUGCACUUCGGGAUAAGCUUGGGAAACUGGGUCUAAUACCGGAUAGGAGCCAUCUUUAGUGUGGUGGUUGGAAAGUUUUUUCGGUGUAGGAUGAGCUCGCGGCCUAUCAGCUUGUUGGUGGGGUAAUGGCCUACCAAGGCGGCGACGGGUAGCCGGCCUGAGAGGGUGUACGGCCACAUUGGGACUGAGAUACGGCCCAG